UGGGGAAUAUUGCACAAUGGAGGGAACUCUGAUGCAGCGACGCCGCGUGAGUGAUGAAGGAAUUCGUUUCGUAAAACUCUGUUCUAUGGGAAGAAAAGGACUGUACCAUAGGAGAAAGCUCCGGCUAAAUACGUGCCAGCAGCCGCGGUAAUACGUAUGGAGCGAGCGUUGUCCGGAAUUAUUGGGCGUAAAGGGUGCGCAGGCGGCUUUACAAGUUGGAUGUGAAAUAUUGUGGCUCAACCACAAACGUGCAUCCAAAACUGCAAAGCUUGAGUUAAGGAGAGGUAAGUGGAAUUCCUGGUGUAGCGGUGGAAUGCGUAGAUAUCAGGAGGAAUACCGGUGGCGAAGGCGACUUACUGGACUUAAACUGACGCUAAGACACGAAAGCGUGGGGAGCAAACAGG
Molecule: ribosomal RNA, 404 nt
Filed under: Fusobacteriota bacterium
Lineage: Bacteria; Fusobacteriati; Fusobacteriota
Description: Fusobacteria bacterium partial 16S ribosomal RNA
Rfam family: Bacterial small subunit ribosomal RNA
Source: RNAcentral